RNAcentral lists this small RNA (29 nucleotides) under Bombyx mori (domestic silkworm). Its description in RNAcentral is "ovarian small RNA-26383". Lineage: Eukaryota; Metazoa; Arthropoda; Insecta; Lepidoptera; Bombycidae. The record is from RNAcentral.
UCAUUUAAAGUUCGGCUGGCAUACGCUAC